GUGCCAGCAGCCGCGGUAAUACGUAGGGCGCAAGCGUUAUCCGGAAUUAUUGGGCGUAAAGAGCUCGUAGGCGGUUUGUCGCGUCUGCUGUGAAAUCCCGAGGCUCAACCUCGGGCCUGCAGUGGGUACGGGCAGACUAGAGUGCGGUAGGGGAGAUUGGAAUUCCUGGUGUAGCGGUGGAAUGCGCAGAUAUCAGGAGGAACACCGAUGGCGAAGGCAGAUCUCUGGGCCGUAACUGACGCUGAGGAGCGAAAGGGUGGGGAGCAAACAGGCUUAGAUACCCUGGUAGUCC
Molecule: ribosomal RNA, 292 nt
Filed under: uncultured microorganism
Description: partial 16S ribosomal RNA
Rfam family: Bacterial small subunit ribosomal RNA
Source: RNAcentral